Molecule: ribosomal RNA, 357 nt
Filed under: Salmonella enterica
Lineage: Bacteria; Pseudomonadati; Pseudomonadota; Gammaproteobacteria; Enterobacterales; Enterobacteriaceae
Also listed under: 1 other name
Description: partial 23S ribosomal RNA
Rfam family: Bacterial large subunit ribosomal RNA
Source: RNAcentral
UAGCGCCUCGUGAAUUCAUCUCCGGGGGUAGAGCACUGUUUCGGCUAGGGGGCCAUCCCGGCUUACCAACCCGAUGCAAACUGCGAAUACCGGAGAAUGUUAUCACGGGAGACACACGGCGGGUGCUAACGUCCGUCGUGAAGAGGGAAACAACCCAGACCGCCAGCUAAGGUCCCAAAGUCAUGGUUAAGUGGGAAACGAUGUGGGAAGGCCCAGACAGCCAGGAUGUUGGCUUAGAAGCAGCCAUCAUUUAAAGAAAGCGUAAUAGCUCACUGGUCGAGUCGGCCUGCGCGGAAGAUGUAACGGGGCUAAACCAUGCACCGAAGCUGCGGCAGCGACACUGUGUGUUGUUGGGUA